GAUGAACGCUGGCGGCGUGCCUAAUACAUGCAAGUCGAGCGAACAGACGAGGAGCUUGCUCCUCUGACGUUAGCGGCGGACGGGUGAGUAACACGUGGAUAACCUACCUAUAAGACUGGGAUAACUUCGGGAAACCGGAGCUAAUACCGGAUAAUAUAUUGAACCGCAUGGUUCAAUAGUGAAAGACGGUUUUGCUGUCACUUAUAGAUGGAUCCGCGCUGCAUUAGCUAGUUGGUAAGGUAACGGCUUACCAAGGCAACGAUGCAUAGCCGACCUGAGAGGCGGACAGGACCCAGUGGAAAUGAGACACGACCGAGACACAGACGGAAGGCAGCAGUCGGGAGUCUUGUGCAAGGGGCGAAAGCCUGAAGUAUGAACGAAGGGGGAGUAAUGAAGGUGUAAGGAUAGGAAAACUCUUUUAUUAGAGAAGAACAGAAGUGCAAGUAACUGUGCACACCUGGACGGUGCCUAAUCAGAAAGCCACGGCUAGCUAGAUG
Molecule: ribosomal RNA, 497 nt
Filed under: uncultured bacterium
Lineage: Bacteria
Description: partial 16S ribosomal RNA
Rfam family: Bacterial small subunit ribosomal RNA
Source: RNAcentral